This is a long non-coding RNA of Rosa rugosa (rugosa rose), 2011 nucleotides long. RefSeq lists it as uncharacterized. Lineage: Eukaryota; Viridiplantae; Streptophyta; Magnoliopsida; Rosales; Rosaceae. The record is from RefSeq and is a predicted model, not a curated record. The transcript is spliced from 2 exons.
GAAAUCAAUCACACACAAUCAAAUAUGGCUAAUUGAAUAAUAGCAGCAAUAAAUUCACACUACUCAACAUGACUUAUCUUUGAAAGCUAAAGACCUUGAAUAAGGAACAAACGAUUGAAACCAAUUGAAUCACACUGAAACUGAAAACAGUUAGCCUAAGAAACCAUGGACUAAAUUAGUCUAAGAAAUACAAUAAAAAUAGAGCAUGAUACUAUAGUGUGCAUUCGAUGAAUAAAAAGAAAUUAAUUAUAUUUUAACUGGAAACCAAUUUGUAAAGUAAAUUGAAAAGAUAUCCUAAUCAUUUUUAGAACUGUGAGUAAAGAUGCAAAGUAUUGUUUGUCUAUCUUAUUAAUAAUAAGUCUAUGUGAUUCUCUUCUCUCCCAAAUCAGUUUUAGUGAUGCAGACUUUUAUCUCAACAGGAACAGUAGCAGAAGAUAUAAUGUUAUUGAAUGUGAUCCUCUUGUUCUCAAAGGGAUUGAGAGACCAGUAAGUAAUUUCUGUGCCCACUAUUUUCUGUUAGUCUAAAAACAGUUGAAGUUGUUGUUGGUACUCCGCACUCAGAGAAGUAUAAACAGGAUCUAAACAUAUAAAAACUAUUUGAAAUUACCUACUCUGAGGUAUUGCUGCGUUUAUAUACCUAUUUUUGACUAAUCAAUUUCUAGACAUGCAUACCUAUUUGAGAACUGAACUUAACCAAAAAGGCACACCAAGAGCACAAACACACAAUAACUUCUUUCAACAAAAUGUGUAACUCUCAGACCAUGAUCCUAUUUACAACAAAUAAAAAUAAUCAUGCAGUAUGCUCUGAGACCAUGAUGCUAUUUACAACCACACAUUGAGUAGAUAAACACAAAUGAUAUAUCUCCUUAGUUUAAGAGUUAAAUAAAGGGGGGUGAAAUUUGCACCCCCAAAAUUGCAAACCACACCCCAUUUUAUUUUUUUAAUAAUAUUUCAUCCCAAGUCUUUUUGAACUUCCCAAAAUACCCUUAAAAGUCAAAUUUUCUUUUCUUUUUGGGUCUGUUCUUCCCUUUCUCCAUCCUCUCUCUCUCUCUCUCCAACGAAUAAUCUCAGAGAUUAAUCUCUCUCUCUCCCUCUUUCCACCAUCACGUCGGCGAAUGGAACUGGAAUUGAAUCUCCGACGCACGAGCUAGAUCUCCGACGCGCGACGCCGAUUGGUAAGCCCUAAUCAGUCCUACGACAACCUCACACCCAAAUCGAUCGACCUCUUCUCCGCCUCUUACCUCUCAAUCCACUCUCAGACCAACGACCUCCUCACCUUCCUCGAGUCCACUCUCGAACCUGACUCCAUCUUCGCCAUCGAAAUCGCCAGCGACCACAAGAACUGGAAAUCCCGCGGCUUCGGCCGCAUCCAGUUCACCACCCUAGCCCACAAAGCCAGAGCUCAGUCUCUCUCCUCCUCCACCGACCUUGGGGCAAGAAGUCUACACCCUCUUCCAAUUUCAACCCACCAGAGAUCCAGAUGGAGAUGAUGAACCAGCAUUCCGGUUUCGGGUUACGGACUCGGCUAAUGUGGGAAAGAAGACAUCUUUCACUUGUUUUUUUUUUUUUUUUGUCGUCCUCUGAUAUUGAGAAAAAUGUGAAGCAGUAGACGCCAUGUCGCUUAGGACCAAACAUAUCAAUCCAACUCGCACAAGCUGUGGAGAAGAAUAAGCACCCACUACAACUCAGAGACCUCCGUCACAGAAAAUAAGGUAAGGAAUACCAGUGUGUGGUCAAAGCAGAGAGGGAGUGAAGAAAUGGGGGAUUUGUAUGUUUUGGGUCCGGCGGGUCGAGUUAAUGCUCUGCUUUUGAAGGUCGAUUUUUCUUCUUUGUUCUUACGGUUUGAGUUUCUUGCUUAAAGUUACUGAAAUUGGAAGAAAAGUUCUUGUAUAGCAAUGAGCAAUCUGCUAUUCGAUUUGGGAUUUUGGAUUGUAAUCUCCUCCCAAGUCCCGACUUUGUACUUGGAUUUUGUUUUCGAUUUUGCAGUUGGAUGAUUGGGUCUUGUUUUCAA